UUGAAUAAAAUUGGUAUAAGCUGUUGCUGGCUCUUCGGGGUAUGUGCACGCCUACACCGACUUUAUCAACCACCUGUGCACAUUAUGUAGAUCUGAUUAAAUUCUCGAGGUAAAACUCGGUUUUAAAGAUUGUUGUGCCAAAUGCCAGCUUUCUUCUACAUUUUCAGAUUUAUGAUUUCAAUACACUCUAAAUGAAACUAUCAGAAUGAUACGUUCUGGGCGUUAUGUGCCCUGUAAUAUAAUAUA
Molecule: unclassified non-coding RNA, 246 nt
Filed under: uncultured Agaricales
Lineage: Eukaryota; Fungi; Basidiomycota; Agaricomycetes; Agaricales
Description: sequence contains ITS1
Source: RNAcentral